GACGAACGCUGGCGGCGUGCUUAACACAUGCAAGUCGAACGGAAAGGCCCUGCAUUUGUGGGGUGCUCGAGUGGCGAACGGGUGAGUAACACGUGAGUAACCUGCCCUUGACUUUGGGAUAACUUCAGGAAACUGGGGUUAAUACCGGAUAGGAGCUCUUGCUGCAUGGUGGGGGUUGGAAAGUUUCGGCGGUUGGGGAUGGACUCGCGGCUUAUCAGCUUGUUGGUGGGGUAGUGGCUUACCAAGGCUUUGACGGGUAGCCGGCCUGCGAGGGUGACCGGCCACAUUGGGACUGAGAUACGGGCAAGAGUCCUACGGGAGGCAGCAGUGGGGAAUAUUGCGCGAUGGGCGGAAGCAUGAUGCAGCAACGCCGCGUGCGGGAUGACGGCCUGCGGGUUGUAAACCGCUUUAGCCUGGGACGAAGCGUGAGUGACGGUAAUGGGUAAAGAAGCACCGGCUAACUACGUG
RNAcentral lists this ribosomal RNA (468 nucleotides) under uncultured bacterium. RNAcentral's name for it is "partial 16S ribosomal RNA". It matches the Rfam family "Bacterial small subunit ribosomal RNA", at positions 28 to 507 of the family's 1533-position model. The record is from RNAcentral.